This 522-nucleotide long non-coding RNA is filed under the name Arachis ipaensis. RNAcentral describes it as "long non-coding RNA (AIPA_LNC001585)". The record is from RNAcentral. Lineage: Eukaryota; Viridiplantae; Streptophyta; Magnoliopsida; Fabales; Fabaceae.
UUGAUCCACAUUUAAAUAAUACAUAUAUCAGAUGGGGUCUCCCAAAUGAAACAAAAAAACAAACUCAUUCAAAAAAAGUCUAAGAAAGAAAGAAGGAAGUAGAAGAGAUGAAAGCUUCUCAAAAUGAAUGAUGGGAGCAAUUCAUUAACUCCAUAGCAAACUACUCACCUGAGCCAGAAUUUUUUCAGGGGUUAAACAUUUAUCCUCAAACAAUUGUACAUUUCGAACUAAUCAUAUCUCCCAAAACGUGAAAGUAAACUGGGUUAGCAGUUGAUUACUGUGCGGCUUUGAUUUGAUGAAGGUGAAAUUUGAUUUAAGCCAUUUUCCAUAGAGGCUGGUCUUGCAAGUUCAUUGAGAUGAGUUGUUGUUCAAGCUUAAGAUAAAGGUUUUAAGAUUUUAUAAUAGAAGAGGAACUAAAUUGAGCAUAAUAAAUUAAAUUUGGACCUUACUAAAGGUUUAAGAUUUUAUAAUAGAAGAGAAAAGGCUUAAGAUAAAGGUUUAAGAUUUUAUAAUAGAAGAGAA